Molecule: long non-coding RNA, 2490 nt
Organism: Equus caballus (horse)
Lineage: Eukaryota; Metazoa; Chordata; Mammalia; Perissodactyla; Equidae
Source: Ensembl
AAAACAUGGGCAAAAUACCACUUAAAAGCAGGGCAAUCACAGGAAUCCCUCAUUCAAGUAGAAGCCACUAAGAAAGUUAUCUGUAACACACAUAUCCCCCCAAAAAAUACAAGUAAAAAUUAUAAACUAUAUAAGUUUGAAUCAUAUUCGGCCUAAUAAUAUAAGGGGUUCAUUCAUUCAUUCAUCCGCAAAUAUUUAGGCACUUUCUAGAAACUGAGGAGAUCACACUGAAAGAAAAUGUUUUAAUCUCUGCCUCGUGGAACUUACACCUUAGUCAGAGGGAGACAAGCAAUAGACAAAAUACGUAAGUAAAUUAUGUAGCAUCUUAGAAGGUAACAAGUGCUAUGGAGAAAAAUAAGUAAGGCGAGGCUGAUAGGGGAUAAGGAGUCCUGGGUCAAUUUGCAAAUUUAAAGAGAGUGGCCAGGGAAGGCCUCACUGAGGUGACUGUGGAGCAAAGACUUGUAGGGAGAGAGGAAGAAAGGCAGGCAGGGAUCUGGAGGCAAGUAUUCCAGGACAAAGGCACAGCAGGUGCAAGGCACUGGGGCGGGUGUACACCUGUGGUGUUUAAGGACCACGAAGAGGCCAGUGUGGCUGGAGCCAUGGGAGUGAGCGAUGGGAGAGGGGUUGGAGGCGAGGUCAGAGGUGCCCAAAGAUUUCUGCAAUAUCCAGGCACUGUCUACCUCUCAGAACGCUGCUGCUCAGCUGUGUCAGUCAGUGUCCAACCAGGAGACAGACACCACAUCGUACUUUUAACAGGGAAAGUUUAACUAUAACAGAUUAGAGUAACGGGGCGUGAGCUAACAAGAAGUAAAGAAAACUCUAACGACUGUAGGAAGUGCAGAUAUAAGGAGCAGCUGCUACCCCUAGAGCCGAGAUGGAGAGUCCAAGGAAGAGCCCCCCUCCUCCUGGAGCUGAGAUCCAUACCUUGUCGGAGAGAGCAUAGUCAUAGCUCAGUGGACAGAGAACAGCUGCUGAGGUGCCAUUACUGUUGGAACUUGCCGGAAAGCCAACCUCUAGGGUGCUGGAGAAAGCCAUUCCCAGGGAGGUGCCAUGUCCUGGAACUUGCCACAAAGCUGCAUGAGGGGCUCCCAGUGGGAGCUGCUGGAUCCUGUUGGUUGCCAUGCACUGCAGGAGCCAAGCACUGGAGGAGGCACUCACCAAAGGAGCCAGAAGCUGGAGAAGCCACACACUGCAGGAAAUGAGAGCCAAAGAAAGUUGUGCCCUGCAGUGUCAGCCUGUAGGGUAGAAACACACACAGAGCAGGAGCCGGCCAAGGCAGUACACUGGAACCACGACAAAAAAAAAACUUUCUCUUCGAGUAUUUCUCCAGCGCCCUCUACCGACAAAACUUAACAUCAUGCCACCUGGCAAAGGAGAACUACUUCAAGGGCCCUACUCCAUUUUCAUGAGCAGGCAAUGAUGUAUGGAUCUGAAGAUGAGAGGCACUCAGUCGAUAACCGGCACACCAAGCUUUUCUUAUUUGGAUGCAAUAUUCACAGCAUCAGCUGUUGAUGAAGUGUAAUAUUAGACUUUUCUAAAUGUUGCUACUUUUAAUGCAAGGUACUCUCCCACCCAAAAAAAAACCCCAAAACCAUGCCUUUGUGUGAAACUCUGGGUUCUGAAAAGUAAAGUACAGUCCAUCCUUUCUGAAAAUUCUACACUUAGAAAAUACUUGAAAAUCUAUUUAGGGCGCUGAAGAGUCCCCUUGUUAAAUAACGCCCUGUGUAGGUCUGGGUGCACACUGUUCUACAUAAUCAUAAAUUCAAUUGGUUUUGCUCACUUCAAAUUUUUGGGUAGGGGGAGGGCAAAGGGGUAAAAGGGUACAUAUGUAUGGUGACAGAUGGAAACUAGACUUUUGGUGGUGAACACAAUGCAGUCUAUACAGAAGCCAAAAUACAAUGACAUACACCUGAAAUUUAUACAACGUUAUAAACCAAUGUGAUGUCAAUAAGGUAAUUUUGUUAUAAAUUCUUGCCUCUUAGUAUUUGCUUUUUUUUUUUCUUUCUAAGAUAAGCACACAGUUGUUGUCCUCUUCCACUUGGACGUAUUAUAAAUGAAUGGCCCAGUAAGAUAUCUCAUGAUGGAAGGAGCAUCAGCUCUCCAUCAGGCAGACCUGGUUUUAAAUUCCGACUCCGUCACUUUCUGGCUGUGUGGCCUUAAGCAGCUCCCUUAAUCUCUGUGAGCUUCGGUUUCCUCAUCUCUAACUGGGAGAAUAACACUCACUUUGCAGGGUUUAAAAAGACCGUCUGGAGCAGCUACUACUGUACUUGCCCCAGAGUAAGCACCUCCUUUAAAAGAUGGCCCGGAUCUGUGAAUUUCACUGCUCUGAUCUCUAUUAGUGAUUUCAUUCAAGUGCCCAUGGUGAAAACUGUAAACCAAGUUAAUUCAAACUUUCAUUCCAAAGACAGCCACAAAAGCACAAAAUAAAGCUUGCAAAAUGUUCCACUAAUUACCAGAGAAUUUCUAAACAAUAUUCCAGAGUUGCUGGGA